CUCCGAAUGCCGUCAUCUUAUACUUGGGAGUCAGACUGUGGGUGAUAAGAUUCAUAGUCGAAAGGGCAACAGCCCAGAUCGUCAGCUAAGGUCCCUAAAUGUAAGUUAAGUGGUAAAGGAUGUGGGAUUGCACAGACACCCAGGAUGUUGGCUUAGAAGCAGCCACUCAUUCAAAGAGUGCGUAAUAGCUCACUGGUCGAGUGAUCCUGCGCCGAAGAUUUCCGGGGCUAAAAC
Molecule: ribosomal RNA, 234 nt
Filed under: Clostridioides difficile
Lineage: Bacteria; Bacillati; Bacillota; Clostridia; Peptostreptococcales; Peptostreptococcaceae
Description: partial 23S ribosomal RNA
Rfam family: Bacterial large subunit ribosomal RNA
Source: RNAcentral